Molecule: long non-coding RNA, 1372 nt
Filed under: Pseudonaja textilis
Lineage: Eukaryota; Metazoa; Chordata; Lepidosauria; Squamata; Elapidae
Description: lncRNA (ENSPTXG00000005068.1)
Source: RNAcentral
CUUUGCUUUAAGUACGUUAUUGUGGCUGUUAUAAUAAAAUAUACUUCAAAAAUGUUAACCAUUCAAACAUAUUAAUGGGGAAAAAUCCUUUUUUUAGAAGAAGAAAAAAGAGAAGAAGAAAUCCAGUAGGGUGAGCAAAGAUUUCAUUUAUUUUUCAACACCUAAGAUAUAGUUUAUUUAAAUGGGAAAGGGUGAUUUUUAGAUUUUUAUUAUAAAUGUUUAAUAUUGGUUUUUAAAUGCAGGUGAUGCAGCUUUGGAUAAUAUCCAUAAAUUUGAGGGGUAGGGGUUAACUUAUUCUGUUGACAAAUUCUGCAUCUCACAAAUUUACGUUUUGUUAUCUUUGGUCAAGUUAUCUCCAUCUUCCUCUUCCUCAUCAAGCUCUGAUUCUUCCAGCAGUUCAUCUGAUAUUGAAGAUGAGGAUAAGAAACAAGGAAAAAAGAGAAAGAAAAAAAAAUAUCACACCUUACAGAAGUCAUCUGAAAGCUCUAGUUCAGACUCUGAUUCAGAUAGCAAGGAUAGUUUAAGAACUAAACGGACAAAGGAAGAUUAUGAAAGAGACAAGGAUUCAAAAAGUCUUGUUAGGAAAAGAAUAAAAGCAGACCAUACGGAAGAAUUAUUGCCAUCAGACUCUUCACUAGAAUCGACUGAAACAGAGGAGGUACAAGCAAAAAAGAAGAAAAACAGUGAAGAAAAAGAGAAAAAUGAUAAAACAAAAAAGCGAAAGAAACACAAGAAGCAUAGCAAAAAGAAGAAAAAGAAAACAGCAAGCUCAAGCUCUCAUCCAAAAUACUUAAGUCAGGUUUUUCUUUCAUCGAAAGUGCAGUGAGACUAUAGAUACCAUAGAGAAUUGCAAAUUGUGAAAAUUAUGAUAAAAUCUGCCAACUGCAUGAGCUCUCCUAUGUGUUAACAAAUCUAGACAUUCAGCUUGCCCAGUACCAUUGGGCUGGAAAUAGCCAUUGUUGUUGCCUGAUGCUUAAUAUACAUAUAGUACCCUUCUCUAGAACUCCAGUAGCUAAUAGGACAUUUUGGAAAGAAGCCCUUCCCAUGGUUUACAUGAUUGAGCAGUAGAGUAAAACUGGAUGGAUGCCAGAAAGUUUUGCCUACUUUAUUCAGGGAUAUGUGCAUGUGAUCUGAUAUGCAGAUGUCAAUCAGCUUCAUUGUUGUAAUGAAUGAGGCAACUCCCCGUGGACUAAGAUGCAUCAGGAGGCCUGUAUCUAUAAACCAAAGUUGAAUUUGGGUGUUUUAUUUUAACAGCCUAGUAGUGAAACUUAAUUUUUUAUUAUAAAGACAUUUGCAAAAUUCUUCUACAGAAUCGAAUUUAGCAACUCCUGUGACAUUUUAUUUUUACUGAUACCAUUUUUGGAAUAGGAAC